This is a non-coding RNA of Salmo salar (Atlantic salmon), 54 nucleotides long. Lineage: Eukaryota; Metazoa; Chordata; Actinopteri; Salmoniformes; Salmonidae. The record is from Rfam.
UGCAUUCACUUAUGUAAGUCUCUCUGGAUAAGAGCGUCUGCUAAAUGACUAAAA